This 501-nucleotide ribosomal RNA is filed under the name Microbacterium barkeri. Its description in RNAcentral is "bacterial SSU rRNA". It matches the Rfam family "Bacterial small subunit ribosomal RNA", at positions 124 to 638 of the family's 1533-position model. The record is from RNAcentral. Lineage: Bacteria; Bacillati; Actinomycetota; Actinomycetes; Micrococcales; Microbacteriaceae.
ACCUGCCCCUGACUCUGGGAUAACAGCCGGAAACGGUUGCUAAUACCGGAUAUGCAUCAUGGCCGCAUGGUCUGUGGUGGGAAAGAUUUUUCGGUUGGGGAUGGGCUCGCGGCCUAUCAGCUUGUUGGUGAGGUAGUGGCUCACCAAGGCGUCGACGGGUAGCCGGCCUGAGAGGGUGACCGGCCACACUGGGACUGAGACACGGCCCAGACUCCUACGGGAGGCAGCAGUGGGGAAUAUUGCACAAUGGGCGGAAGCCUGAUGCAGCAACGCCGCGUGAGGGAUGACGGCCUUCGGGUUGUAAACCUCUUUUAGCAGGGAAGAAGCGUAAGUGACGGUACCUGCAGAAAAAGCGCCGGCUAACUACGUGCCAGCAGCCGCGGUAAUACGUAGGGCGCAAGCGUUAUCCGGAAUUAUUGGGCGUAAAGAGCUCGUAGGCGGUUUGUCGCGUCUGCUGUGAAAACCCGAGGCUCAACCUCGGGCCUGCAGUGGGUACGGGCA